AAACGAUGCCAACCAGUAAUUCGCCUGAGUUCCUUAAAUGACUCGGCGAGGGACUUCCGGGAAACCAAAGUCUUUCGGUUCCAGGGGAAGUAUGGUUGCAAAGCUGAAACUUAAAGAAAUUGACGGAAGGGCACCACCAGGAGUGGAGCCUGCGGCUUAAUUUGACUCAACACGGGAAAGCUCACCCGGCCCGGACACUGGAAGGAUUGACAGAUUGAGAGCUCUUUCUUGAUUCAGUGGGUGGUGGUGCAUGGCCGUUCUUAGUUGGUGGAGUGAUUUGUCUGGUUAAUUCCGAUAACGAACGAGACUCUAGCCUACUAAAUAGAUCGUCGGCUUACAAACGCCGACGAGACUUCUUAGAGGGACAGGCGGCGAUUCAGCCGCACGAAACAGAGCAAUAACAGGUCUGUGAUGCCCUUAGAUGUCCGGGGCCGCACGCGCGCUACACUGAAGGAAUCAGCGUGCUAAAACCAUUGUCGAAAGGCAUUGGUAAACCCCUCAAAAUCCUACGUGAUUGGGAUCGGGAAUUGCAAUUAUUUCCCUUGAACGAGGAAUUCCCAGUAAGUGUGGGUCAUAAGCUCGCGUUGAUUACGUCCCUGCCCUUUGUACACACCGCCCGUCGCUGCCCGGGACUGAGCCGUUUCGAGAAAAGCGGG
RNAcentral lists this ribosomal RNA (656 nucleotides) under uncultured eukaryote. RNAcentral's name for it is "bacterial SSU rRNA". It matches the Rfam family "Eukaryotic small subunit ribosomal RNA", at positions 1034 to 1712 of the family's 1831-position model. The record is from RNAcentral.